Molecule: transfer RNA, 73 nt
Filed under: Lamprotornis superbus
Lineage: Eukaryota; Metazoa; Chordata; Aves; Passeriformes; Sturnidae
Description: tRNA-OTHER
Rfam family: tRNA
About the family: Transfer RNA (tRNA) molecules are approximately 80 nucleotides in length. Their secondary structure includes four short double-helical elements and three loops (D, anti-codon, and T loops).
Source: RNAcentral
CCUUUGAUAGCUCAGCUGGUAGAGCGGAGGACUGUAGAUCCUUAGGUCGCUGGUUCAACUCCGGCUCGAAGGA